Molecule: long non-coding RNA, 546 nt
Organism: Felis catus (domestic cat)
Lineage: Eukaryota; Metazoa; Chordata; Mammalia; Carnivora; Felidae
Exons: 3
Source: RefSeq, a predicted model, not a curated record
UUUGCGAACUUGGUCUCUUUUCAGGAACCUCCUGCCUCAUCCACAGCAUGAUGACCCCUCAUACUGGUGGUUUCACUUCCAGAUCCUCAACAGACACUGCAUACAGCCCACAGUCUACACCUGCUCAUGUUGGUACCUCAGCUCCAGGGCCCUUCCUCUGGCCUGGCCAGGCCCUUCUCACUGUAAGUUUGAUGGGAGCUGGAGCUGUGUAUCCCUUGCCCUUAUUAAUGUAGCACCUAUACGCUGUCUACUACCCGGUAAUUGCUCCUAGCUCAAAGUAUGAAAGGAGACAAUCUCCCAGGAGCUCAAAGAACUACAAGGGCGAUUCCCUCCACCUCUGACAGGCUGAGACCACAGAACUAUACCGUCUACUACAGUGGCCAGGACGGAAUGAGCGCUUAAAAUGUGGCUGGUUGGAAUUGCCAUGUGCUGUAAGCGUAAGACAGGCACCAGAUAUCAAAUGUUUAGCCUGAGAAAAAGAAUGUAAAAUAUCUGAUUAGUAAUUUUUGUCUUGAUUACAUGUUGAAAUGAUAGUAUUCUGGGCAC